Molecule: ribosomal RNA, 228 nt
Filed under: uncultured bacterium
Lineage: Bacteria
Description: partial 16S ribosomal RNA
Rfam family: Bacterial small subunit ribosomal RNA
Source: RNAcentral
GACGAACGCUGGCGGCGUGCUUAACACAUGCAAGUCGAGCGGUAAGGCCCUUUCGGGGUACGACGAGCGGCGAACGGGUGAGUAACACGUGGGUGACCUGCCCUCAGCUCUGGGAUAAGCCUGGGAAACUGGGUCUAAUACUGGAUAUGACUCCACGGUGCAUGUCGUGGGGUGGAAAGCCUUGUGCGGCUGAGGAUGGGCCCGCGGCCUAUCAGCUUGUUGGUGGGG